AAUGUAAUUAUUAUGGUUAACAUGCAUUUUGAAUAUUGAUUGGAUUUAUUUUAUAGGGUCUCCCACUGAGCCUGUUAAGCUCACUUCCCUAUUUUCUAUCUUUUCAGAUAAUCCAAUAGACUAGGACGCAGACUCAACUCAUGGAGGGUCUCAGCUUAUCGUGGUCUAAAGAAUGCUAUUAUUAUCAUUAUUGUUGUUGUAAUACUCAAUUUUUGCCCGGCCUAUAUUAAAACAAAAAAAUCCAAAAGUCUAAAAAUAAUAAUUAGCCCAAACCCUAAAAUUACAUUGGCCUGAAAAAAACAAAAAAAUAAUAACCCUAUAAGUCCAAUUUACAAAACCCAUUUCCGUGGCCCAACAAUCAGUAAACCACCCAAAACCCUAAACGCCUUUCAACCUCUGUCGCUCCCACGCACAGCAGCUCCCACG
This 426-nucleotide long non-coding RNA is filed under the name Gossypium raimondii (Peruvian cotton). RNAcentral's name for it is "long non-coding RNA (GRAI_LNC007239)". Lineage: Eukaryota; Viridiplantae; Streptophyta; Magnoliopsida; Malvales; Malvaceae. The record is from RNAcentral.